This 264-nucleotide ribosomal RNA is filed under the name uncultured archaeon. Its description in RNAcentral is "partial 16S ribosomal RNA". It matches the Rfam family "Archaeal small subunit ribosomal RNA", at positions 719 to 982 of the family's 1478-position model. The record is from RNAcentral.
AGUCACUGACAUUAGAUACCCGGGUAGUCCCUGCCGUAAACAAUGUGCGUUAGGUGUGUCGGUAACCACGUGUUACUGAUGCGCCGAAGAGAAAUCGUGAAACGCACCACCUGGGAAGUACGGUCGCAAGGCUGAAACUUAAAGGAAUUGGCGGGGAGCACCACAACAGGUGGAGCCUGCGGUUUAAUUGGAUUCAACGCCGGACAUCUCACCGGAUAAGACAGCUGAAUGAUUGUCAAUCUGAAGGUUUUACAUGACUAGCUG